Molecule: long non-coding RNA, 659 nt
Organism: Xyrauchen texanus (razorback sucker)
Lineage: Eukaryota; Metazoa; Chordata; Actinopteri; Cypriniformes; Catostomidae
Exons: 4
Source: RefSeq, a predicted model, not a curated record
UUGAAUCGAACAAGUUAGUGUGUGGGGAUAGAAACGCUGUUAAAAUGCUUCUCGGUCGGUUAUUGUUGCGGACAUCAGCUGUUAAUAAGAGUUGGUACUACAAUCCAACUAUAUUAUGCGUAAAUUAUUAUAACAGUAUUCGUCCUAUACGUUGUUAGCGAAGCGGUGUGGUCUGGCCUUUCUUAGUUUAGCAAUACAGCAGUCUUGAUGUUAAAAAAUAUUGGUUAGCAGAAAUGCCUUCACUGCCUCCAAACGUGAUCCUUCCUAGCCAAACAUAAGAGUAGGGCUGGCGUUUGGAAGCACCAUUUUCUUGUGGGCACUGCUCUUCAAGCAACACAGCACUGAUGUGCAGGAGUACAAAAUAAGGAAUGGUUUAGAGUAAUUCCUAGGGAUGCGGCACUGACUGCUAUGUUCUUUGUGGAUCUGCCAUUAAAAAUGUAAAGUAAUGUUUAACAAAGAUGUGUAUGUAUUACUUGCUUUUAGUCUCUAUACUGUUUCCAGCAAUCAUGAGUUAAAAAAAAAUAAUAACUUAUAGGACAAUAUUUGUUUGGGCACAAAGGAAAUUUAAAAAUAAGUGUGCAAUUCACUUUUCCUCCCUCAAUAAAUUCAGCUUGGUCAUGUGAUUUUUACACAAAUCAAUAAUAGAUGCAUUCUUGAAC